GCUGGACAUGGUGGCACAUGCCUGUAAUCCCAGCAACUCAGGAGGCUGAGGUAGGAGGAUUGUAAAUUAGAGGCCAGCCUCAGCAAUUUAGCAAGACUCUGUCUCAA
Molecule: small RNA, 107 nt
Filed under: Marmota monax (woodchuck)
Lineage: Eukaryota; Metazoa; Chordata; Mammalia; Rodentia; Sciuridae
Source: RNAcentral